GAACAAUCUUUCGAGGGUGUUAUACUUUCCACACUUCCCUCUGGACGACCUCACAUUUCACCUCCAAAACGUAACGACCGCAACUUUUUUGACGUUGACAUCGCAUUUUCAGGGACAACUAAUCCUGAUCAGGCACGGUCAAUUGUUGCGGCACUAGUCCGGGCUAAGAACGAUGACAGAUUAAAAUGGAAAGGCGAUAGCGGCAGGUAGUGUAUUUCGGGUCAAGGGCUCUAUUGAACCCGACAUGCUGCUAUAGAUCUAUCUCCGUCUUCACUCCUUUGGGAAGCAUAGAAGACUUGUAACGCCUGCUAAAUUUUGUCUGCAUGGAAAGGCGAAGUGAAGCAC
Molecule: small RNA, 345 nt
Filed under: Cryptococcus neoformans H99
Lineage: Eukaryota; Fungi; Basidiomycota; Tremellomycetes; Tremellales; Cryptococcaceae
Description: Cryptococcus neoformans var. grubii H99 hypothetical RNA
Source: RNAcentral